UACGUAGGGUGCAAGCGUUAAUCGGAAUUACUGGGCGUAAAGCGUGCGCAGGCGGUGAUGUAAGACAGUUGUGAAAUCCCCGGGCUCAACCUGGGAACUGCAUCUGUGACUGCAUUGCUGGAGUGCGGCAGAGGGGGAUGGAAUUCCGCGUGUAGCAGUGAAAUGCGUAGAGAUGUGGAGGAACACCGAUGGCGAAGGCAGCCCCCUGGGCCAAUACUGACGCUCAUGCACGAAAGCGUGGGGAGCAAACAGG
RNAcentral lists this ribosomal RNA (253 nucleotides) under uncultured bacterium. RNAcentral describes it as "partial 16S ribosomal RNA". It matches the Rfam family "Bacterial small subunit ribosomal RNA", at positions 524 to 776 of the family's 1533-position model. The record is from RNAcentral.